RNAcentral lists this ribosomal RNA (307 nucleotides) under uncultured Diversisporaceae. Its description in RNAcentral is "bacterial SSU rRNA". It matches the Rfam family "Eukaryotic small subunit ribosomal RNA", at positions 459 to 767 of the family's 1831-position model. The record is from RNAcentral. Lineage: Eukaryota; Fungi; Glomeromycota; Glomeromycetes; Diversisporales.
GGGAGGUAGUGACAAUAAAUAACAAUACGGGGUUCUUUCGGAUUUCGUAAUUGGAAUGAGUACAAUUUAAAUCUCUUAACGAGGAACAAUUGGAGGGCAAGUCUGGUGCCAGCAGCCGCGGUAAUUCCAGCUCCAAUAGCGUAUAUUAAAGUUGUUGCAGUUAAAAAGCUCGUAGUUGAAUUUCGGGAUUCGUCCAUUGGUCAGGCUUAACUGUCUGUACUGGUGUGUCGGAUUUCUACCUUCUGAAGAACCUUUAUGCCAUUAAUUUGGUGUGUUGGGGAAUCAGGACUGUUACUUUGAAAAAUUA